This 482-nucleotide ribosomal RNA is filed under the name uncultured bacterium. RNAcentral describes it as "partial 16S ribosomal RNA". It matches the Rfam family "Bacterial small subunit ribosomal RNA", at positions 29 to 507 of the family's 1533-position model. The record is from RNAcentral.
AUUGAACGCUGGCGGCAUGCCUUACACAUGCAAGUCGAACGGUAACGCGGGGCAACCUGGCGACGAGUGGCGAACGGGUGAGUAAUGCAUCGGAACGUGCCCAGAAGUGGGGGAUAGCCCGGCGAAAGCCGGAUUAAUACCGCAUGAGACCUGAGGGUGAAAGCGGGGGAUCGCAAGACCUCGCGCUUUUGGAGCGGCCGAUGUCAGAUUAGCUAGUUGGUGGGGUAAAGGCCUACCAAGGCGACGAUCUGUAGCUGGUCUGAGAGGACGACCAGCCACACUGGGACUGAGACACGGCCCAGACUCCUACGGGAGGCAGCAGUGGGGAAUUUUGGACAGUGGGCGCAAGCCUGAUCCAGCCAGGCCGCGUGCGGGAAGAAGGCCUUCGGGUUGUAAACCGCUUUUGUCAGGGAAGAAACGCUCUGGGCUAAUACCCUGGGGUAAUGACGGUACCUGAAGAAGAAGCACCGGCUAACUACGUG